GGACUACAAGGGUUUCUAAUCCUGUUUGCUCCCCUAGCUUUCGUUCCUCAGCGUCAGUAGUGAUCCAGCUCGCCGCUUUCGCCACGGGUGUUCCUGCAGAUAUCUACGCAUUUCACCGCUACACCUGCAAUUCCACGAGCCUCUCUCACACUCAAGCACAGCAGUUUCGGAAGCAGUCUCUGGGUUGAGCCCAGAGAUUUCACUCCCGACUUGCCACACCGCCUACGAACCCUUUACACCCAGUAAUUCCGAACAACGCUGGCCCCCUACGUCUUACCGCGGCUGCUGGCAC
RNAcentral lists this ribosomal RNA (292 nucleotides) under uncultured Acidobacteriota bacterium. RNAcentral describes it as "uncultured Acidobacteria bacterium partial 16S ribosomal RNA". Lineage: Bacteria; Pseudomonadati; Acidobacteriota. The record is from RNAcentral.